CAGUCGCCGCGGGAAUACGAAGGGUGCAAGCGUUAAUCGGAAUUACUGGGCGUAAAGCGUGCGUAGGCGGUUUGUUAAGUCUGCUGUGAAAUCCCCGGGCUCAACCUGGGAAUGGCAGUGGAUACUGGCAAGCUAGAGUGUGUCAGAGGAUGGUGGAAUUCCCGGUGUAGCGGUGAAAUGCGUAGAGAUCGGGAGGAACAUCAGUGGCGAAGGCGGCCAUCUGGGACAACACUGACGCUGAGGCACGAAAGCGUGGGGAGCAAACAGGAUUAGAGACCCGUGUAGUCCCUGUCUCUUAUAC
RNAcentral lists this ribosomal RNA (301 nucleotides) under uncultured bacterium. Its description in RNAcentral is "partial 16S ribosomal RNA". It matches the Rfam family "Bacterial small subunit ribosomal RNA", at positions 509 to 807 of the family's 1533-position model. The record is from RNAcentral.